GUGGGGAAUUUUGGACAAUGGGCGCAAGCCUGAUCCAGCAACGCCGCGUGAAGGAAGAAGGCUUUCGGGUUGUAAACUUCUUUUACCAGGGACGAAACAAAUGACGGUACCUGGUGAAUAAGCCACGGCUAACUACGUGCCAGCAGCCGCGGUAAUACGUAGGUGGCGAGCGUUAUCCGGAUUUAUUGGGUGUAAAGGGCGUGUAGGCGGGACAGCAAGUCAGAUGUGAAAACCAGAGGCUCAAACUCUGGCCUGCAUUUGAAACUGUUGUUCUUGAGUGUCGGAGAGGUAAGCGGAAUUCCGUGUGUAGCGGUGAAAUGCGUAGAUAUACGGAGGAACACCAGUGGCGAAGGCGGAUUACUGGACGAUAACUGACGCUGAGGCGCGAAAGCGUGGGGAGCAAACAGGAUUAGAAACCCGAGUAGUCC
This 428-nucleotide ribosomal RNA is filed under the name uncultured bacterium. RNAcentral's name for it is "partial 16S ribosomal RNA". It matches the Rfam family "Bacterial small subunit ribosomal RNA", at positions 354 to 796 of the family's 1533-position model. The record is from RNAcentral.